This 253-nucleotide ribosomal RNA is filed under the name uncultured bacterium. Its description in RNAcentral is "partial 16S ribosomal RNA". It matches the Rfam family "Bacterial small subunit ribosomal RNA", at positions 524 to 776 of the family's 1533-position model. The record is from RNAcentral.
UACAGAGGUCUCUAGCGUUGCUCGGAAUCACUGGGCGUAAAGGGUGCGUAGGCGGGUUUUUAUGUCAGGGGUGAAAUCCUGGAGCUCAACUCCAGAACUGCCUUUGAUACUGAAGAUCUUGAGUCCGGGAGAGGUGAGUGGAACUGCGAGUGUAGAGGUGAAAUUCGUAGAUAUUCGCAAGAACACCAGUGGCGAAGGCGGCUCACUGGCCCGGUACUGACGCUGAGGCACGAAAACGUGGGGAGCAAACAGG